This 253-nucleotide ribosomal RNA is filed under the name uncultured bacterium. RNAcentral's name for it is "partial 16S ribosomal RNA". It matches the Rfam family "Bacterial small subunit ribosomal RNA", at positions 524 to 776 of the family's 1533-position model. The record is from RNAcentral.
UACGGAGGGGGCUAGCGUUGUUCGGAAUUACUGGGCGUAAAGCGCACGUAGGCGGCUUUGUAAGUUAGAGGUGAAAGCCCGGGGCUCAACCUCGGAAUUGCCUUUAAGACUGCAUCGCUAGAAUUGUGGAGAGGUAAGUGGAAUUCCGAGUGUAGAGGUGAAAUUCGUAGAUAUUCGGAAGAACACCAGUGGCGAAGGCGACUUACUGGACACAUAUUGACGCUGAGGUGCGAAAGCGUGGGGAGCAAACAGG